GGGUCUCUGGCGGAAUUGGUAGACGCGCCACACUCAAAAUGUGGUUGGGCAACCAGUCCCGGUUCGACUCCGGGGAGGCCCA
This 82-nucleotide transfer RNA is filed under the name Achromatium sp. WMS1. Its description in RNAcentral is "tRNA-Leu". It matches the Rfam family "tRNA". From Rfam's summary of the family: Transfer RNA (tRNA) molecules are approximately 80 nucleotides in length. Their secondary structure includes four short double-helical elements and three loops (D, anti-codon, and T loops). The record is from RNAcentral. Lineage: Bacteria; Pseudomonadati; Pseudomonadota; Gammaproteobacteria; Thiotrichales; Thiotrichaceae.